AAACUCUCCCUCACGUUCGAUGGAGUUCAUUUUCUUAACGGUUGCGACUUGAGAGAUUCUUUUUCUUAUACAGUUUCGUUAUUAGUGUAUAUUAAUUAUUUUUAAGUGCAUUACUUAAUUAAUCUAUUUCAAUAGAGAAUUUCCCACUUGGCCUCUAAACUUACAAAGUCUUUAUCUAAUUGGUCACUGUCUCAAGCGAAACCG
Molecule: long non-coding RNA, 204 nt
Organism: Arabidopsis thaliana (thale cress)
Lineage: Eukaryota; Viridiplantae; Streptophyta; Magnoliopsida; Brassicales; Brassicaceae
Product: other RNA
Exons: 1
Source: RefSeq